ACGCCUCAACUCUUGCGGUUCGCCGUCAUGAGCUUGGACCUUUUGGAGGUUUGCUGGCCUGCAGCCAGCUCCUCUCAAACAGAUCAGCUUACCAGUGUUUGGUGGCGUCACAGGUGUGAUAACCAUCUACGCUUGUGAUUGCCUGCCGAGUGACCUUCAGGGAUGGAGGUUUGCUGGAGCUCAUAAAUGUCUCUCCCCAGUGAAGACAGCUUUUUGAAC
RNAcentral lists this unclassified non-coding RNA (219 nucleotides) under uncultured Thelephoraceae. Its description in RNAcentral is "sequence contains ITS2". Lineage: Eukaryota; Fungi; Basidiomycota; Agaricomycetes; Thelephorales; Thelephoraceae. The record is from RNAcentral.